GAGCAGUGAAAGUCACGCCUCCUCCUCCUGACAUCAUCAAGAGAGGCGGCCGACUCCACUGGCUGCAGGCUGCAGGAAGAGUGAGGUAAGUGGAAAAAUCUGAGUCCUCAGCCAGAGGCAGGGCCGGAGCCAGAGGCAGGGGAUUCAAAUUUUUCCUUUUUUUGCUGGAUGCGGGUGGCCUGGGGGGCAAUUGCCUCCUUGCCCCCUUCCCAGCCUGCCCCUGCUUGGAGUGUUCCUUUAACCAUCAUUAAAGGAGUUUGUUUCUGCUGACCUUUUGUUAAUGUUUUCUAUUUAAAUCUGUUACAUUUCAGGUAUUUGAAAUUUCCUAACAUGUUGGAACCAAAAUAAAUUGUAAAAUAUAAGCCACAAGAUUGAAGCUGCAAAUAGUACGGGGUCGGAGAAUUAUCCCAUUUAUGCUAUUUUGGCUUUUUUUCGAGCAAGUUUGAUUUCAGUUACAAAUAACUGUUUAGUAAACAAGGCAAAUUUACCCGUUGACGCUAAUGCCAGUUUAAUGAAGGAUUGUAUUUAACUGAUUUUAGCACAACUGGAUUGGUAACUAAAAGUUAGCUACUGGUUGUGCUAAACGAUUAUUUACAGAUUCUUUUAUUUUAAUUUACAUACUUUGUCAGUCAACACAUGGAAAUUAAGUAACCCAUGCAGUGCCAUAAAUAACAGUUUUAAUGUAGUUUCUGUCCUGUAAAUCUGUUCCCUAAUUGAGCAAAUACCAGGAAACUAUGACAACACUAAUUAGCCGAAGAGACUUCAGAGUGCUAGUUAAUGGCUGGGUAAUCUAAGACCUAGAGAUAUAAUAUAGUGAUAAAGAGAGAGAAACUAACUGUUCUGCUCUCACCGUGGAGCCAGAAGGGCUGUGGUAUGGGAUGGAUUCAUUCAGUCUAAAUUUUGGAACAAAAUAGUUUAAAACGUAGCACAAUAAUAAUGUAACAACAAUGAGGCACUGCUGGAAUAUAAACUGUAGGUUUCACUUUACUUUUCUUAUUUCUGCCUUGUAGUAUCAUUUUUGUUUCAAGUGAUAAUGAAGGGGUUCACGAUCCAUAUGUGUUUCUUGGUAGGUACUUAGUCAUAGUCUUUGUGGUGUUUGGUGUGCAGUGGGGGGGGGGGAGGAGUUUAGUUUGUGUGUGUGUGUGUGCGAGGGGUGCAGUGUGAGGCUGUGUGUGUAUGAAGGGUGCAGUGUGUAUGAAAGGUGCUGUGUGUGUGUGUGGUGCUGUGUGUGUGUGUGUCUGUGUGAAGGGUGCAGUGUGUGAGUGUAGUGUGUGUGUGUGUGUGGAUGAAGGGUGCAGUGUGUGAAGGGUGUAGUUAGUGUGUGUUUGGUGUGCAUUGGGGGUGAUGAGUGCAGUAUGUGUGUGAGGGGUGCAGUGUGUAAGAAAAGUGCAGUCUGUAUGAAAGGUGCAGUGUGCAUGUGUAUGUCUGUGUAAAGGGUGAAGUGUGUAAAGGGUGUAGUUAGUGUGUUUGGUGUGCAGUGGGGGGAAGAUGAAAGUAAUACAUAAAUAUGUUUGUUUUAAUUUUUUAAAAACAAAGCUAUACUUUAUAUCCUCCCUCCCUUCUAAUCUUUGCAUGUGGGGGUGGACAUAGAGGUGAAUCCCUUGAAUCCCUGAUGGUCAUAGUGGAGGUGAAUCCCUGGUGGUCGUAGUGGUGAGUUCACUGUCGCAGGAUCAGAGCAUUGCCAUGGUAACUGCGGCAAUUCUCCUACCUCGCAAGAGGAACCCGGCUGAGCUGCUAACUAGAGCUCCCACAGGUCCUCCUCUCCCUCCCCAGCCAGCGGCAGCAUGUCAGUGUCUGUGGGCUGAUGAGGGAGAUCUUUGAUCUCCCCGCCGGACCAUCAAGGCACACAGCAGGGCCGGCACUCCAAUAGUGAGGGCCCCACAUGGGCCGGCAGGGGAGAUCCUGUGAUCUUUCCUGCCGGCUUCAGCCCAUGGCCACCAGGCAUUUGCCCGAUGGCCAGUCCGGGCCUGGUUUGUAGGCUCUAGGGGGCCACCACAUUUUCUUAAACCACUCAAAAUGUUCUGUUACUAACCAGGGAGAUGGUGCCUAAAGACUUUUUGCACCAUAACCACUACAAAGCACUGCGGUUGUUGAAUAAGUGAAAAGUGCAUAGCUCUCCCACACAUACACCUGCUCAGCCAAGCACUGACAUUCCAACUCUGAGUGCAUAUAGUAUGCCUUUAGUCAGAUGACAAGCUUGUCUGCUUCUUAAUAGAAGCAUAGCAUGUUCUGUCCAAGUAGUUUUGUAAUUUAUUUUUCUUGGCAUGUUAUUUAGACACGAUUAAUUUGUAUGGCUGUGCUUUCUAUGGAUACACAUCAUAGACCCCAGCUGGGAAACAAGAGGAAAUGAAUAACUGUUACCAAGGAAUUCCAGUCUUUCUUCAGAAUUCAUAGUAUAGUAUCAGAUAGCAUGCUGACAUAGCAUUCUUAACCAUAU
RNAcentral lists this long non-coding RNA (2437 nucleotides) under Pelobates cultripes (western spadefoot toad). Lineage: Eukaryota; Metazoa; Chordata; Amphibia; Anura; Pelobatidae. The record is from RNAcentral.